This 253-nucleotide ribosomal RNA is filed under the name uncultured bacterium. RNAcentral describes it as "partial 16S ribosomal RNA". It matches the Rfam family "Bacterial small subunit ribosomal RNA", at positions 524 to 776 of the family's 1533-position model. The record is from RNAcentral.
UACGGAGGGUCCAAGCGUUAUCCGGAAUCAUUGGGUUUAAAGGGUCCGCAGGCGGAUUUGUAAGUCAGUGGUGAAAUCCUACAGCUUAACUGUAGAACUGCCAUUGAUACUGCAAGUCUUGAAUUCGGUCGAAGUGGGCGGAAUAUGUCAUGUAGCGGUGAAAUGCUUAGAUAUGACACAGAACGCCGAUUGCGAAGGCAGCUUACUAAGCCAUUACUGACGCUGAGGCACGAAAGCGUGGGGAGCGAACAGG